RNAcentral lists this ribosomal RNA (497 nucleotides) under uncultured bacterium. RNAcentral's name for it is "partial 16S ribosomal RNA". It matches the Rfam family "Bacterial small subunit ribosomal RNA", at positions 28 to 506 of the family's 1533-position model. The record is from RNAcentral.
GAUGAACGCUGGCGGCGUGCCUAAUACAUGCAAGUCGAGCGAACAGACGAGGAGCUUGCUCCUCUGACGUUAGCGGCGGACGGGUGAGUAACACGUGGAUAACCUACCUAUAAGACUGGGAUAACUUCGGGAAACCGGAGCUAAUACCGGAUAAUAUAUUGAACCGCAUGGUUCAAUAGUGAAAGACGGUUUUGCUGUCACUUAUAGAUGGAUCCGCGCCGCAUUAGCUAGUUGGUAAGGUAACGGCUUACCAAGGCGACGAUGCGUAGCCGACCUGAGAGGGGGGUUGGGCACCACGGAACUGAGAACAGGUUCCAAACCCUAAGGGGGGGAGGAGGAGGGAAAUCUUCCGAAUGGGGGAAAGCCCUACGGAGGCAACGCGGGGGGGGUAAUAAGGGUCUUCGAAUGGAAAACCUCUGUUAUUAGGAAGAAACAAAUGGGAAGGUAACUAGGCCGGUUUGGAGGGAACCAAAUCAAAAGGCAAGGGCAACCAACGU